UUGACGGGGCCCGCACAAGCGGAGGAACAUGUGGUUUAAUUCGAUGAUACGCGAGGAACCUUACCUGGGCUUAAAUGUAGAGUGCAUUUUUUAGAGAUAGAAAUUCCCUUCGGGGCUUUCUGCAAGGUGCUGCAUGGUUGUCGUCAGCUCGUGCCGUGAGGUGUCGGGUUAAGUCCCAUAACGAGCGCAACCCUUAUCGUUAGUUGCCAUCUGGUAAUGCAGGGGACUCUAGCGAAACUGCCACCGUAAGGUGAGAGGAAGGUGGGGAUGACGUCAAAUCAGCACGGCCCUUAUGUCCAGGGCUACACACGUGUUACAAUGGUCGGUACAGAGGGCAGCUACCUGGUGACAGGAUGCUAAUCUCGAAAACCGGUCUCAGUUCGGAUCGAAGUCUGCAACUCGACUUCGUGAAGCUGGAUUCGCUAGUAAUCGCGCAUCAGCUAUGGCGCGGUGAAUACGUUCCCGGGCCUU
This 471-nucleotide ribosomal RNA is filed under the name uncultured Sphingobacteriales bacterium. RNAcentral describes it as "bacterial SSU rRNA". It matches the Rfam family "Bacterial small subunit ribosomal RNA", at positions 910 to 1382 of the family's 1533-position model. The record is from RNAcentral. Lineage: Bacteria; Pseudomonadati; Bacteroidota; Sphingobacteriia; Sphingobacteriales.